GUGGUCGAGCUUCCGCAAUAUUCCCAAGUUCUUUCGAUGGAUAAACUCCUGCAGCUCCUUCCACAAGUGUCGAUCGGAUUCUCCUGACGGACGAACUCCUGCCACAUCUCUCGGGCUUCUCCAACGAUAAGCUUCUUUAGUCGUCUAUCAGGCUGCUCCAAGUGCUCUCUAGAUUCCACUAUCAGCCGACCUCCUACAAUGGUCAACCAUUCUCCGGACCUCUUCCAAAUCUUUUCCAAUAGGAUUCGAUCGACUCCAAUCCAAAUUUCUUCCAGAACUUCGUCAGUGGCCGAACUUACCCAACAGCAGAUCUCCACGAUGGACGGACUCC
RNAcentral lists this long non-coding RNA (331 nucleotides) under Elaeis guineensis (African oil palm). RNAcentral describes it as "long non-coding RNA (EGUI_LNC050399)". The record is from RNAcentral. Lineage: Eukaryota; Viridiplantae; Streptophyta; Magnoliopsida; Arecales; Arecaceae.